GGGCAGUAACCUAACAACGGGUUGUCCGAUUCAUCUGAAAAUUUCAGGGCAGAUAGAACUUGACCUGAUAAACACUUUUACUCCCAUGUCAGAUUUGCCCUAAAUGCUUUGGUUUUUGAGUUAUAAGCCAAAAACUGCAUUUUACCCCUAUGUUCUAUUUUUAGCCGUGGUGGCCAUCUUGGUUGGUAUGCCGGGUCACCGGACACAAUUUUUAAACUAUAUACCCCAAUGAUGAUUGUGGCCAAGUUUGAUUAAGUUUGUUCUAGCAGUUUCGGAGGAGAAGAUUUUUCUAAAAGAUUACUAAGAUUUACGAAAAAUUGUUAAAAAUUGACUAUAAAGGGCAAUAACUCCUUAGGGGGUCAAUUGACCAUUUUGGGAAUG
RNAcentral lists this long non-coding RNA (381 nucleotides) under Mytilus galloprovincialis (Mediterranean mussel). Lineage: Eukaryota; Metazoa; Mollusca; Bivalvia; Mytilida; Mytilidae. The record is from RNAcentral.